This 111-nucleotide ribosomal RNA is filed under the name uncultured bacterium. RNAcentral's name for it is "partial 16S ribosomal RNA". It matches the Rfam family "Bacterial small subunit ribosomal RNA", at positions 1367 to 1482 of the family's 1533-position model. The record is from RNAcentral.
UACGUUCCCGGACCUUGUACACACCGCCCGUCAAGCCAUGGAAGCCGGGAGUACCUGAAGACGGGUGACUUUACUGGGAGCUGUCUAAAGGUAAAACUGGUGACUGGGGCU